UGAAUACGAGACGCUAAGGCGUCGAAGUAGUGUAUGUCAUACUUCCAAGAAAAGCUUGCACUGUCAUAAGUAAAAAAUGCCUGUACCAUAACCGACACAGGUGGGUAGGUAGAGUAUACUAAGGGGCGCGAGAUAACUCUCUCUAAGGAACUCGGCAAAAUGACUCCGUAACUUCGGGAGAAGGAGUGCCUUAUUUAUAAGGUUGCAAUAACAAGAUCCAAGCAACUGUUUAUCAAAAACACAGGUCUCCGCUAAGUCGUAAGACGAUGUAUGGGGGCUGACGCCUGCCCAGUGCCAGAAGGUUAAAGAAGUUGGUUAGCGUAUGCGAAGCUGAUGACUGAAGCCCUGGUGAACGGCGGCCGUAACUAUAACGGUCCUAAGGUAGCGAAAUUCCUUGUCGGGUAAGUUCCGACCCGCACGAAAGGCGUAAUGAUUUGGAUACUGUCUCGGAGAGAGGCUCGGUGAAAUAGACUUGUCUGUGAAGAUGCGGACUACCUGCACCAGGACAGAAAGACCCUAUGAAGCUUUACUGUAACUUGAAAUUGGAAUUGGACUUUGCUUGCGCAGUAUAGGUGGGAAGCGUUGAAGAUAUUCUUGCGGGAGUAUUGGAGCUAUCAGUGAGAUACCACUCUUGUAAUGUUAGAUUUCUAACUUUGAACCAUAAUCUGGUCAAAGAACAGUUUCAGGUGGGCAGUUUGACUGGGGCGGUCGCCUCCCAAAUGGUAACGGAGGCGUACAAAGGUUUCCUCUGAACGGAUAGAAAUCGUAUCUAGAGUGUAAAGGCAUAAGGAAGCUUGACUGUGAGACCUACAAGUCGAGCAGGGACGAAAGUCGGUCUUAGUGAUCUGACGGUACUGAGUGGAAAGGCCGUCACUCAACGGAUAAAAGUUACUCUAGGGAUAACAGGCUGAUCUCCCCCAAGAGUUCACAUCGACGGGGAGGUUUGGCACCUCGAUGUCGGCUCAUCGCAUCCUGGGGCGGUAGUACGUCCCAAGGGUUGGGCUGUUCGCCCAUGAAAGCGGUACGCGAGCUGGGUUCAGAACGUCGUGAGACAGUUCGGUCCAUAUCCGGUGUAGGCGUUAGAAUAUUGAGAGGAGCCUUCUUUAGUACGAGAGGACCGAGAAGGACACACCGCUGGUGUACCAGUUAUCGUGCCAACGGUAAACGCUGGGUAGCUAUGUGUGGAGUGGAUAACCGCUGAAAGCAUCUAAGUGGGAAGCCCACCUCAAGAUGAGUAUUCUC
RNAcentral lists this ribosomal RNA (1242 nucleotides) under metagenome. RNAcentral's name for it is "bacterial LSU rRNA". It matches the Rfam family "Bacterial large subunit ribosomal RNA", at positions 1564 to 2815 of the family's 2925-position model. The record is from RNAcentral.